RNAcentral lists this ribosomal RNA (644 nucleotides) under uncultured Candidatus Altimarinota bacterium. Its description in RNAcentral is "SSU rRNA". It matches the Rfam family "Bacterial small subunit ribosomal RNA", at positions 722 to 1383 of the family's 1533-position model. The record is from RNAcentral. Lineage: Bacteria; Candidatus Altimarinota.
CAGCUUACUGGAACUAUAUUGACGCUGAGGAACGAAAGCGUGGGUAGCGAAAAGGAUUAGAUACCCUUGUAGUCCACGCCCUAAACGAUGAUAACUAAGUGUUCCCGCUAGACGGGAGUGCUGAAGCUAACGCGAUAAGUUAUCCACCUGAGGAGUACGGUCGCAAGACUAAAACUCAAAGGAAUAGACGGGGACCCACACAAGCAGUGGAUCACGUGGUUUAAUUCGACAAUAAACGGGGAACCUUACCCAGACUUGACAUCUACCGAAUCCUCUAGAGAUAGAGGAGUACCUUUAUCGGAACGGUAAGACAGGUGCUGCAUGGUUGUCGUCAGCUCGUGCCUUGAGGUGUUCGGUUAAGUCCGUUAACGAGCGCAACCCAUGUCGUUAGUUAUUAUGUCUAACGAGACUGCCUUGGUUAACAAGGAGGAAGGUGUGGAUGACGUCAAAUCAGCAUGGCUUUUACGUCUGGGGCUACACACAUGAUACAAUGGUUUAUACAAAGAGCAACAAUAUGGCAACAUGGAGUUAAUCUUUAAAGUAAAUCUCAGUCCGGAUUGAGGUCUGCAACUCGACCUCAUGAAGUUGGAAUUGCUAGUAAUCGUGAAUCAGAUAUGUCACGGUGAAUAUGUUCCUGCCCCUUG